RNAcentral lists this ribosomal RNA (305 nucleotides) under uncultured bacterium. Its description in RNAcentral is "partial 16S ribosomal RNA". It matches the Rfam family "Bacterial small subunit ribosomal RNA", at positions 506 to 807 of the family's 1533-position model. The record is from RNAcentral.
ACAGCAGUAGCCGCGGUAAUACGUAGGGUGCAAGCGUUAAUCGGAAUUACUGGGCGUAAAGCGCACGCAGGCGGUUUGUUAAGUCAGAUGUGAAAUCCCCGAGCUUAACUUGGGAACUGCAUUUGAAACUGGCAAGCUAGAGUCUUGUAGAGGGGGGUAGAAUUCCAGGUGUAGCGGUGAAAUGCGUAGAGAUCUGGAGGAAUACCGGUGGCGAAGGCGGCCCCCUGGACAAAGACUGACGCUCAGGUGCGAAAGCGUGGGGAGCAAACAGGAUUAGAUACCCCAGUAGUCCCUGUCUCUUAUAC